Long non-coding RNA from Rana temporaria (common frog), 603 nucleotides. RefSeq lists it as uncharacterized. The record is from RefSeq and is a predicted model, not a curated record. NCBI's taxonomy places the organism in Eukaryota, Metazoa, Chordata, Amphibia, Anura, Ranidae. The transcript has 3 exons.
CCUGCACGUCAUUAGUGCGGGCUCCCACAUGAUGAGAGCAGGGCUUACCUGUCCCUCCCCUCUCCCCACUUGGAGGCAACGCCCCCUUUUCCACACUGACCCAUAGCAACGCAGGCUCCUUUACAGACCCCUCCCACCUUACUCCUCCCCCUCUCCUAUUUAAAAGCCAAGCAGCCCCACAAUGUCAGACAUUGCUGGAUGGCUGCAGCAGCUGUACACACUCUACACUGCUUGUGUUUUCUUCCCAUCUUCCGAUCCCUCUACUGACCUCUCUGGCCACUUUUUGUCAUUACAGGUAAAAAUAUAUAUAUAUACAAUCAAUAAACUUUUACGCUGUGACACUUCGGGCCAAAGGUCUUGCUACGCUGUGAUUGAUAUUAGAUGCCAGUCCUCACUCCUCUCCUUACCAUCUGAGGCUGGCCAUGCGUCCCGAUUGCGAUGUCCUUUUAAGGGGUGUGCUGAGCCGUUGAAACUUCUCGGGUGGUAUGAUUUUUUCUUAUCUGUACCAGUUUAAUGUUUUUCAUCUGUAUGUUAUUAUUUUCAACACAUUGUCAUUUAUUUGUUUUCUAGAAAAGUUGUCUGUUACACUUUCUGACUCCACAC